AGAUGCAGGUAUUAGAAUGUACACUCGCUGUCCGGAAAUUGCAUGAUAAAAUACUGCGCGUACAUUGAUUUGUAGGCUGCGUGAUGCAUGUUCUUUGUUUUUUUUUCCUUCUCCGUAGAUCGAUCGGACAAAUGAGAAAAUUUUCCAUUAAACUUCUUGGGAGCACAUGAUAAACACUCAGUCAUGGACAACAACCGACUCUUUUUUUUUUGAAAUGCGUUCAUCCUUUGAAAUGAUUUGAUCAGGAGUAAAGCCAGGUAUGUGUGAUCAGAUCUUAGUGGAGCAAUCGAUCGAUGGAGAUUAAGUCCGUGGUAAUGUAAUAGCUGUCAGCCUGUCAAUGGGGACGUGGGUCAGUGUCUUAGUGAGAGUGAGGCUUACUACUACGUGUUGGCCGUGCAC
Molecule: long non-coding RNA, 399 nt
Filed under: Brachypodium distachyon (stiff brome)
Lineage: Eukaryota; Viridiplantae; Streptophyta; Magnoliopsida; Poales; Poaceae
Description: long non-coding RNA (BDIS_LNC001589)
Source: RNAcentral